This is a small nucleolar RNA of Manihot esculenta (cassava), 133 nucleotides long. RefSeq annotates it as small nucleolar RNA U19. The record is from RefSeq and is a predicted model, not a curated record. The transcript has a single exon. Lineage: Eukaryota; Viridiplantae; Streptophyta; Magnoliopsida; Malpighiales; Euphorbiaceae.
AUCUGGCUUAGUUAGGAGGCAGAGAUCAAAUGGUUUGAUCAAUCUAUGGUUGGUAAUUCACAAUCCAAGGCCUUCUUGAAAGGACAAUCUUGCGAAUCUCACCAUCAAUUGUUCUCCGAGCAGCCUGAGCUUC